GAGAACCAAGAGAUCCAUUGUUGAAAGUUUUGAAGUUGUUUUCUACUAAAAGAAAUCUUGUGUUGACUGAAUUAGUUUAAAAAAAUAUUUGUUUGUGUUUGCAUCCACUGGGAGAACUCCCUCCCGAAAGAGAGCGUUCCCCCAACGAACAAAAGAAUAGUAGUAAAGUAAACUCCACUGUGUGUAGUAAUUAGAAAGUGUCGAGUCGUGUGAUAAAACACCUCCUUUGGAAUAGAGAGAUCCACGCACACUCCCAGGUCUUUGUCGGCUCCCUCCCCCCACUGCAGAACACCCACCAACCGCGCACUUAAGCGCAGGCAGGAGAAAUAGCAUUCACAGCAGAGAAAAUAUUUUAGGAGCCUCCUGAGUGUCUACACUGGUCCUCCCCAGAGAUGUCUCUCUCCGAGCUCAGACAAAUCAAUUAAAUUUCUUUAAUGAUCCUU
RNAcentral lists this unclassified non-coding RNA (443 nucleotides) under uncultured Candida. Its description in RNAcentral is "sequence contains ITS1". The record is from RNAcentral. Lineage: Eukaryota; Fungi; Ascomycota; Saccharomycetes; Saccharomycetales.